UUCGGGUGCGUCUCCCUUCUCGGGAAAUGCUCUCGACCCCCACGAACCCUUGACCUCAAAUCGGGUGAGACUACAGGCUGAACUUAAGCAUAUCAAUAA
This 99-nucleotide ribosomal RNA is filed under the name Lactarius salmoneus. Its description in RNAcentral is "partial 28S ribosomal RNA". The record is from RNAcentral. Lineage: Eukaryota; Fungi; Basidiomycota; Agaricomycetes; Russulales; Russulaceae.